AACGAACGCUGGCGGCAGGCUUAACACAUGCAAGUCGAACGGGUGUAGCAAUACAUCAGUGGCAGACGGGUGAGUAACACGUGGGAACCUUCCUAGGGGUACGGAACAACUCAGGGAAACUUGAGCUAAUACCGUAUUCGUCCGUGAGGAGAAAGAUUUAUCGCCCUUAGACGGGCCCGCGUCGGAUUAGCUAGUUGGUGGGGUAACGGCCUACCAAGGCGACGAUCCUUAGCUGGUCUGAGAGGAUGAUCAGCCACACUGGGACUGAGACACGGCCCAGACUCCUACGGGAGGCAGCAGUGGGGAAUAUUGGACAAUGGGCGAAAGCCUGAUCCAGCAAUGCCGCGUGAGUGAUGAAGGCCCUAGGGUUGUAAAGCUCUUUUACCCGGGAUGAUAAUGACAGUACCGGGAGAAUAAGCUCCGGCUAACUCCGUGCCAGCCGCCGCAGUAA
Molecule: ribosomal RNA, 451 nt
Filed under: uncultured bacterium
Lineage: Bacteria
Description: partial 16S ribosomal RNA
Rfam family: Bacterial small subunit ribosomal RNA
Source: RNAcentral